GGGGGUGGAUUAUGCUGUAUCCCUCACUGCUCCGUGUGCGUCCCUCCCAAAGCUGUGCGCUCGGUGGAAGAGGACAAGCAUCCCAGGUAGAAGGAGUGUACCAUUCUUCGGUCAAGGGUAUACGAUAGCUGUGCUCCCCUGCUGAAACCUCUAAACUUUUUGCUAAGCAUCUUCCAAGAACACCAUUUAAUGCAUAGUUCAGACAACACAAAAUUCAGCACCUUACUUGGAUGGGUCUGGAGUCU
Podarcis lilfordi (Lilford's wall lizard) is the source of this 245-nucleotide non-coding RNA. NCBI's taxonomy places the organism in Eukaryota, Metazoa, Chordata, Lepidosauria, Squamata, Lacertidae. The record is from the annotation of a GenBank genome assembly.